AUGUCUAUCGUGGCGGGCAGCUCUCGCCCGCGGGAGGAAGGCCUCGCUUCGAUUCGUGCCCGAUCUUGCUAUGAUUUCCCCAGCCGGACGCCGGCCGAGAAGCUCACCGACGACCUCCUCGUGGAGAUCCUCUCGCGCGUCCCCGCCAAGGAGGUGUGCCGCUGCAAGUGCGUCUGUAAGCACUGGCUCGGCCUCAUCCACCACCGGGACCACCGCAAAAGGCUCCCCCAAACCCUGGCCGGCUUCUUCUUCGGCAGCAGCACCACCGGGCAGCGGCUUCUUGAACCGCCCUUCCACUUCACCAGCCUCUCAGGGGACCGCCGCCCUCCGUUUGAUACCUCCUUCACCUUCCUGCCCAACCACCGCCCGCCGCGCGUCCAUCUACUUGACUCCUGCAAUGGCCUCCUCCUCUGCCGCCGCUACGACGUUUCCGAUGGGGUUGUCGCGUUCCACUAUGUCGUGUGCAAUCCCGCCACGGAGAAGUGGGUCGUGUUGCCCAACUCUGUCAAGGCCACUGGCGAGGCAGCCACCACAUGUUUGGGCUUUGACCCCGCCUUGUCCCCAAAUUUCCAUGUGUUUGAGUUGGUACAUGAGCACAAGUACGGCAGGAAAGCCGAUCUUUCCGGAGUGGUAGUGUAUUCGUCCGAAACCGGUGAAUGGGUUUUCAAGGAGAAGAGAUGGAACGGAGCUACGUGGCCUACUAGUCGGCACUCCUCGGGAAGUGUCUUUCUUAAUAGCCUUCUGUUUUUUCGUGCCUUUGACCUCGAGUUACACGAGUGUGUAGCUGCGGUGGACACGAAGGGAGAAACGUGGAUGAAAUUCAGGAUCCCUGGUAGUCAGGUUGAUGAUUUUGGUCUGGCUGAUAGUUUUAUUCAGCGGUCGCAGGGCCGCUUGCACUAUGUAGGUUUUCAGAGGGAUAAAGAGGGUGUUGCCAUCCGAUUUGUAGUUUAUGUUCUGGAGAACUAUCAAGGCGAACCUUGGAUAUUGAAGCAUAGCAUUGAAACUUCAAACAUAUUUGGAUGGAGAGAUUUAUACCUUGAUGGGCGUUUUGAUUUUAUUGCAAUUCAUCCGGAAUGUGACUUGGUUUUCAUCAUUGCGGGGGGUAUGACAUUCAUGUGCUAUAAUAUGGAUAAUCGGCAAGUCAACGUGAUAUCCUAUCUUGCAGGUGCCAAGCAGCUAUUUCUGCCUUAUGUGCCAUUGUUCACAGAGUCACAAUCACUGCACAUUUGA
This 1230-nucleotide ribosomal RNA is filed under the name Triticum aestivum (bread wheat). Its description in RNAcentral is "partial small subunit ribosomal RNA". The record is from RNAcentral. Lineage: Eukaryota; Viridiplantae; Streptophyta; Magnoliopsida; Poales; Poaceae.